AGCGAACGCUGGCGGUAGGCCUAACACAUGCAAGUCGAACGGCAGCACAGUAAGAGCUUGCUCUUACGGGUGGCGAGUGGCGGACGGGUGAGGAAUACAUCGGAAUCUACUUUUUCGUGGGGGAUAACGUAGGGAAACUUACGCUAAUACCGCAUACGACCUACGGGUGAAAGCAGGGGAUCUUCGGACCUUGCGCGAUUGAAUGAGCCGAUGUCGGAUUAGCUAGUUGGCGGGGUAAAGGCCCACCAAGGCGACGAUCCGUAGCUGGUCUGAGAGGAUGAUCAGCCACACUGGAACUGAGACACGGUCCAGACUCCUACGGGAGGCAGCAGUGGGGAAUAUUGGACAAUGGGCGCAAGCCUGAUCCAGCCAUACCGCGUGGGUGAAGAAGGCCUUCGGGUUGUAAAGCCCUUUUGUUGGGAAAGAAAAGCAGCAGGUUAAUACCCCGCUGUUCUGACGGUACCCAAAGAAUAAGCACCGGCUAACUUCGU
This 491-nucleotide ribosomal RNA is filed under the name uncultured bacterium. RNAcentral's name for it is "partial 16S ribosomal RNA". It matches the Rfam family "Bacterial small subunit ribosomal RNA", at positions 29 to 506 of the family's 1533-position model. The record is from RNAcentral.